GGCCCGGUAGCGGAUGGGCCGCGCCUGCUGUCAAUAGCUGAUUAUAAGCAAUCUAUGCAGGAUCCGCUCGUUCGAAUCGAGCCCGGGCCA
Mycena epipterygia is the source of this 90-nucleotide non-coding RNA. Lineage: Eukaryota; Fungi; Basidiomycota; Agaricomycetes; Agaricales; Mycenaceae. The record is from the annotation of a GenBank genome assembly.